Molecule: ribosomal RNA, 453 nt
Filed under: uncultured Porphyromonadaceae bacterium
Lineage: Bacteria; Pseudomonadati; Bacteroidota; Bacteroidia; Bacteroidales; Porphyromonadaceae
Description: partial 16S ribosomal RNA
Rfam family: Bacterial small subunit ribosomal RNA
Source: RNAcentral
ACGGAAGGCAGCAGUGAGGAAUAUUGGUCAAUGGGCGGAAGCCUGAACCAGCCAAGUCGCGUGAAGGAUGAAGGUAUUAUGUAUUGUAAACUUCUUUAGACGCAGAGAAAUAAGCGGGACGUGUCCCGCGAUGCUAGUAUGCGUAGAAUAAGGAUCGGCUAACUCCGUGCCAGCAGCCGCGGUAAUACGGAGGAUCCGAGCGUUAUCCGGAUUUAUUGGGUUUAAAGGGUGCGCAGGCGGUUUUUUAAGUCAGUGGUCAAAUCGCGGAGCUCAACUCCGUCCCGCCAUUGAUACUGGGAGACUUGAUUGCGGUCGAGGUUGGCGGAAUUCGUCGUGUAGCGGUGAAAUGCAUAGAUAUGACGAAGAACACCGAUUGCGUAGGCAGCUGACCAGGCCGUAAAUGACGCUCAUGCACGAAAGUGCGGGGAUCGAACAGGAUUAGAUACCCUGGUA